GAUGAACGCUGGCGGCGUGCCUAAUACAUGCAAGUCGAGCGAACAGACGAGGAGCUUGCUCCUCUGACGUUAGCGGCGGACGGGUGAGUAACACGUGGAUAACCUACCUAUAAGACUGGGAUAACUUCGGGAAACCGGGGCUAAUACCGGAUAAUAUAUUGAACCGCAUGGUUCAAUAGUGACAGACGGUUUUGCUGUCACUUAUAGAUGGAUCCGCGCCGCAUUAGCUAGUUGGUAAGGUAACGGCUUACCAAGGCAACGAUGCGUAGCCGACCUGAGAGGGUGAUCGGCCACACUGGAACUGAGACACGGUCCAGACUCCUACGGGAGGCAGCAGUAGGGAAUCUUCCGCAAUGGGCGAAAGCCUGACGGAGCAACGCCGCGUGAGUGAUGAAGGUCUUCGGAUCGUAAAACUCUGUUAUUAGGGAAGAACAAAUGUGUAAGUAACUAUGCACGUCUUGACGGUACCUAAUCAGAAAGCCACGGCUAACGGCGUG
RNAcentral lists this ribosomal RNA (497 nucleotides) under uncultured bacterium. RNAcentral's name for it is "partial 16S ribosomal RNA". It matches the Rfam family "Bacterial small subunit ribosomal RNA", at positions 28 to 507 of the family's 1533-position model. The record is from RNAcentral.